RNAcentral lists this ribosomal RNA (548 nucleotides) under Cancilla cf. abyssicola BOLD:ACS9770. RNAcentral's name for it is "partial 16S ribosomal RNA". It matches the Rfam family "Bacterial large subunit ribosomal RNA", at positions 1798 to 2613 of the family's 2925-position model. Lineage: Eukaryota; Metazoa; Mollusca; Gastropoda; Neogastropoda; Mitridae. The record is from RNAcentral.
GCCUGUUUAUCAAAAACAUCGCUCCCUGUAUAAUAUUAGAUAGGGAGUCGGACCUGCCCAGUGAAUUUUUAACGGCCGCGGUACUCUGACCGUGCAAAGGUAGCAUAAUAAUUUGCCUUAUAAUUAAGGGCUAGUAUGAAUGGUUUGACGAGAAUAAAGCUGUCUCCUUGUAAUUUACUAGAAAUUUAUUUGUAGAUGAAAAAGUCUACAUAUUAUUAAAAGACAAGAAGACCCUAUCGAGCUUAAAAAAAUUUAGUAGGUUAAAAUAUGUUAAUUAAAUCGAAAAAAUUAUCUACUAAGAAUUUUAGUUGGGGCGACUAAGGAACAAAUAAAGCUUCUUUAAACAUAAUUUUCGUAUAUUAACCUUGAUCCAGAAAUUUCUGAUUAAUAAAAUUAGUUACCGUAGGGAUAACAGCAUUAUCUUUUUUGAGAGCUCUUAUCGAAAAAAAGGUUUGUGACCUCGAUGUUGGACCAGAAUAUCCUAAAGAUGCAGCAGUCUUUAAGGGUUGGUCUGUUCGACCAUUAAUAUUCUACGUGAUCUGAUUCCA